Long non-coding RNA from Etheostoma cragini (Arkansas darter), 174 nucleotides. RefSeq lists it as uncharacterized. NCBI's taxonomy places the organism in Eukaryota, Metazoa, Chordata, Actinopteri, Perciformes, Percidae. The transcript has 2 exons. The record is from RefSeq and is a predicted model, not a curated record.
UUAUCAACAAAUCUUUCUAAAAGCAACACGCAUUUUGUCUUCAUCAGAUCAUGUUCUUCAGAGGGAAUACGUUGUUGUAUUUGAGCUGCUUUUAAAACUAAUCGCCACUCAAAUUGUUUUAUCCUUUCUGCAAUUCGACUUUUAAAUGGAUCAAAUCUAUUUUUGGAUUAUAAU